RNAcentral lists this transfer RNA (93 nucleotides) under Pirellulales bacterium. RNAcentral's name for it is "tRNA-Lys". The record is from RNAcentral. Lineage: Bacteria; Pseudomonadati; Planctomycetota; Planctomycetia; Pirellulales.
GCUCAGCUAAAAUACGGUAAAAGACGGCAUUUCCGUAAGUGUGGCCACUGACUCUUAAUCAGUAGGUUCAUGGUUCGAGUCCAUGAGGGAGCA